UGGGGAAUUUUGGACGAAUUGGGCGAAAGCCUGAAUCCAGCAAUGCCGCGUGUGUGAAGAAGGCCUUCGGGUUGUAAAGCACUUUUGUCCGGAAAGAAAUCCUUGGCUCUAAUACAGUCGGGGGAUGACGGUACCGGAAGAAUAAGCACCGGCUAACUACGUGCCAGCAGCCGCGGUAAUACGUAGGGUGCAAGCGUUAAUCGGAAUUACUGGGCGUAAAGCGUGCGCAGGCGGUUUGCUAAGACCGAUGUGAAAUCCCCGGGCUCAACCUGGGAACUGCAUUGGUGACUGGCAGGCUAGAGUAUGGCAGAGGGGGGUAGAAUUCCACGUGUAGCAGUGAAAUGCGUAGAGAUGUGGAGGAAUACCGAUGGCGAAGGCAGCCCCCUGGCAAGUACUGACGCUCAUGCACGAAAGCGUGGGGAGCAAACGGA
This 431-nucleotide ribosomal RNA is filed under the name uncultured bacterium. RNAcentral's name for it is "partial 16S ribosomal RNA". It matches the Rfam family "Bacterial small subunit ribosomal RNA", at positions 355 to 776 of the family's 1533-position model. The record is from RNAcentral.